GAGCACGGCUUUUGAAAAUAGAGAGGUAGAGCAGCUAGGAGCUAAAUAUUAGAAGAGCGUCCUCUCUUUUCUUCGGGAAAUCGAGUUCGCUGGGCUGGUUCCCUGUCCCCGAUAUGUAACGAAAAGAUUGAUUGGUUUACCGCAUUCAUGAAAGCACUUGCCUCUCUGGUGGUCCUUUACCUUUCUAAAAGAGAAGAGAAGAGAGGUAGUCGCAGCAGGAGAAGGAGCCCUAAACCCUGAGGAUCACUCGACCCCGACCGGUCAAUCUCCUGUCAUUGCUAUCUCGUGCGCGAAGGGUUGCCCAUGCUCCUAAUUAAGUCCAUCCGGGUCUUCCNN
This 336-nucleotide long non-coding RNA is filed under the name Nicotiana benthamiana. Its description in RNAcentral is "long non-coding RNA (NBEN_LNC011876)". Lineage: Eukaryota; Viridiplantae; Streptophyta; Magnoliopsida; Solanales; Solanaceae. The record is from RNAcentral.